This is a long non-coding RNA of Corvus hawaiiensis (hawaiian crow), 2350 nucleotides long. RefSeq lists it as uncharacterized. The transcript is spliced from 3 exons. NCBI's taxonomy places the organism in Eukaryota, Metazoa, Chordata, Aves, Passeriformes, Corvidae. The record is from RefSeq and is a predicted model, not a curated record.
UUUCAAUUCCCAGGACAAACAAGAGCAGCUAAAACACGCACUGUUAGCUUCCAGAAGUAUGUGUUCCCACACUCACAUAAAAGUUCUGUCUCCUAUGCUGUCUGUUCUGUCUGCAACCACUUUCUGAUAAUUUGUUCUGGAUGGGCUUCAGGAAAUGAAGGAAAUUGGUGCGCUGCAUCUGUUUUUUCAAUACAUGUAAUAAUUUAUGUCCAACUUUGGUAUUGUUCAAGAUACAGUGGUCCAAAAAGGUGCAAGAACUGUAAAGACACAACUUCUACCUACCCCAGCUCCUCAAUAGAUCUCACACGACCUCAAGCAUACUGUAGUCCCUCCUAUUUCCCUUCUCUGCAUCUUCUCUUCACUGUCCCAAGGACACUGCCCAUGUUGCACAUUUCCCCAUAUGGAAUUACAGCAAGUAAACAUAAAUGGGAAACAAAUCCCCUCCUGCAGAGGGGCAUGUUGCUCUGAAAUGAGCAGGACAAGAACUGGUUCCUGGCAGAUGCUGGACAGUGUGCGCUCGGCUCACAGUGGGUACCACUGGCAACAACCGGAAUGCUUCACUAGGAGCAUCUCAAGUGUUGCUGCUUUUUCCAACCAGCACAAUUCUUGUUCUCUGUCUGGUCUUUCCUCCCUUUACUUUCCACAGAGAACCAGAACUAACUCAGUAACAUUUCAGUUGCAGUUUUCUUGUUCCAGACUGUUCUCUGGUUCUGUACCACCCAUCCAUUUACCCAAAUCACUGGGGGGUUUACAGUCCUUUCCCCAGCUUAUUUUCCCCAAGAAAAAUUAAAAUGACAAAAUGUUUCUUGCCUUAUCCGUUCCCCAUUGGUGCAGAGCUCUAUGACUAAAAUGCUCAUCAGAGCCAAAAGCCUGGGCAUGACUGAAUUUUAGAAAAGCUAAACAUCAAUUGGUUUGAUUUAUAGACCCAGGAGACCAAGUCAAUCACACAAGAGUAAAGUAGAAUUAAUUUGCCAUUCAGAGCUGUCUAUAAAAUGUGCCGCCUAGCCUGAAAAAUAUAAAAAAUUAGUAUUAAGUAGAUUGUGUAAUUGCUUCUGCUGGGCAAAAUGGCUUCAAAUUCCAUCUUCAUAGACAUGUAUCCAGAACAUCCCUUGAUCCAUCCAGGCAAGGCAAAAUCUAUGCCUUUUUCCCACCAUGCCACUCCACUGAGUUCUGUGGACUUAGACAAGCACUGAAUACAGAACAUCUCAAGCUGUACCAGCUUGAUGGUAUCUCUGUAACUGGACUGAGUCUCUCUGGCAUCUGUUUGGGAGGCACAGCAUAAGGCAAGUUCAUCAGUUCAAACCUCAUAAAGAGAUGGUGCAGAUGCACUUCAGAAUAGAUAUUGCAGACUUUAUUUUCCAUUUGAGAACUUUGCAUCUUUUAGGUAAUGCACAUACAUAAAUACAGAACAUUAGCAUAACAGCUUAAGAGAUGCAAUCUGGGAUAUUUUAAGCUUCAUAGGAGUUUGCAGUUUUAUGACAGCAUUAAAAUGCUCUUUGAUUCAGCUGCAGGUUAACACAUGGUGCCCCAUUUUCAUUUCUGUGAUAGCUGGGUGUUAAGUUCAUGUGGCACGUGGAGCAGAAGGGAAGCAGCCAAGGAUGAGUAACCACUGCCAGACACCACGCAGAGCUGCACACCUGGCAAUCCUCCCAUUAGUGGAGCCGCUUGGGAAGGGUCGGCUGGCAGUCCUACCACAGGUAUCCGGCUCUCAACCACUCAGACAAGUCCCUACAUCACAAACAACAAAUUCACUUCCAAGACUAAAUUGUCUCAUAAAUUCCCAUCAUUCAAUAUUGUAAUUGUAUUUCUGUGGCUUAGACUGUGGCAACUAGGAAUGAAGCAAGCAGGAAGUGAAGGCUAAUUGUGAAAGGCUAACCUCCCUUUUAUACUGAAAUCAUUUUGUUAUGAAUAAGGGACCUAGAAAGGAAGGACAGCUAUUGAUGAGCCAGUGACAGAAUAAAAACUUCAUCAGUUGCUGAGGUUAUUUAGUCUGUCAGUACUGAAAGAUUUGAAAGCUUCUAAUUUAGUUCUUUACAAAAGAAGCUCCCUGCUGUUAACAACUUCACAAUGAAUUUUCAGCAUUCAACUUCAAAUCAGAAUCGGUAUUGUAGCUUAAUACUUCUCUCUCAGGUACUAAGUCAAACACAAAGCUCAAAUUCUGUCCAGAAAGCAUUACCAGCUGUUUACAGUUUAGGCAAUUUCUUUGUAUAGAUAAUAAAUUAAUCUACAUAUCUCAAUCCAGCAACUGAAGUCUGAUUACAGAAAUAUCUUAAAUAUUCUUUAUGUACUCAGUGGAGUUCUGCUUCAAACAGCACCUACAUCAAUUUAAAUAAAGUAUCCAGUAUACAGA